RNAcentral lists this non-coding RNA (29 nucleotides) under Mus musculus (house mouse). The record is from RNAcentral. Lineage: Eukaryota; Metazoa; Chordata; Mammalia; Rodentia; Muridae.
UGAGAGGACAAAAGGCAAAGAUACAUUGU